ACGUGGCAAAAAAGGUCUCUGGAAACGC
RNAcentral lists this small RNA (28 nucleotides) under Bombyx mori (domestic silkworm). Its description in RNAcentral is "ovarian small RNA-11613". The record is from RNAcentral. Lineage: Eukaryota; Metazoa; Arthropoda; Insecta; Lepidoptera; Bombycidae.